CAGUCGCCACGGUAAUACGUAUGUCACAAGCGUUAUCCGGAUUUAUUGGGCGUAAAGCGCGUCUAGGUGGUUAUGUAAGUCAGAUGUGAAAAUGCAGGGCUCAACUCUGUAUUGCGUUGGAAACUGUGUAACUAGAGUACUGGAGAGGUAAGCAGAACUACAAGUGUAGAGGUGAAAUUCGUAGAUAUUUGUAGGAAUGUCGAUGGGGAAGCCAGCUUACUGGACAGAUACUGACGCUAAAGCGCGAAAGCGUGGGUAGCAAACAGGAUUAGAUACCCGGGUAGUCCCUGUCUCUUAUACA
This 301-nucleotide ribosomal RNA is filed under the name uncultured bacterium. RNAcentral describes it as "partial 16S ribosomal RNA". It matches the Rfam family "Bacterial small subunit ribosomal RNA", at positions 509 to 808 of the family's 1533-position model. The record is from RNAcentral.